RNAcentral lists this ribosomal RNA (497 nucleotides) under uncultured bacterium. RNAcentral describes it as "partial 16S ribosomal RNA". It matches the Rfam family "Bacterial small subunit ribosomal RNA", at positions 28 to 507 of the family's 1533-position model. The record is from RNAcentral.
GAUGAACGCUGGCGGCGUGCCUAAUACAUGCAAGUCGAACGAACAGACGAGGAGCUUGCUUCUUUUACGUUAGCGGCGGACGGGUGAGUAACACGUGGGUAACCUACCUAUAAGACUGGGAUAACUUCGGGAAACCGGAGCUAAUACCGGAUAAUAUUUCGAACCGCAUUGGUCGAUAGUGAAAGAUGGCUUUUCUCUCCCUUAUAGACGGACCUGCGCCGUAUUAGCUAGUUGGGAAGGUAACGGCUUACCAAGGCAAUGAUACUUAGCCGACCUGAGAGGGUGGUCGGCCACACUGGAACUGAGACACGGUCCAGACACCUACGGGAGGCAGCAGUAGGGAAUCUUCCGCGAUGGGCGAAAGCCUGACGGAGCAACGCCGCGUGAGUGAUGAAGGUCUUCGGAUCGUAAAACGCUGUUAUUAGGGAGGAAGAAACGUGUAAGUAACUGUGCACGUCUUGACGGUACCUAAUCAGAAAGCCACGGCUAACUACGUG